AUUGAACGCUGGCGGCAUGCUUUACACAUGCAAGUCGAACGGCAGCGCGGGCUGCGGCCUGGCGGCGAGUGGCGAACGGGUGAGUAAUGCAUCGGAACGUGCCCAGUAGUGGGGGAUAGCCCGACUAAAGCCGGAUUAAUACCGCAUACGACCUGAGGUUGAAAGGGGGGGACCGAAAGGGCUCGCCCGAUUUGAUCGGCCGAUGUCGGAUUAGCUAGUUGGUGUGGUAAAGGCUUACCAAGGCGACGAUCCGUAGCUGGUCUGAGAGGACGACCAGCCACACUGGGACUGAGACACGGCCCAGACUCCUACGGGAGGCAGCAGUGGGGAAUCUUGGACAAUGGGGGCAAGCCUGAUCCAGCCACGCCGCGUGCGGGAAGAAGGCCUUCGGGUUGUAAAACGCUUUUGUUCGGGAAGAAAUCCUCUGGGCUAAUACCCCGGGGGGAUGACGGUACCGGAAGAGUAAGCAACGGCUAACUACGUG
Molecule: ribosomal RNA, 484 nt
Filed under: uncultured bacterium
Lineage: Bacteria
Description: partial 16S ribosomal RNA
Rfam family: Bacterial small subunit ribosomal RNA
Source: RNAcentral